GCCACAGGAUGGGGCCGCGGCUGAUUAGGUCGUUGGUGAGGUAAUGGCUCACCAAGCCUAUAAUCAGUAGUAGACGUGAGAGCGUUAGCUACCAGUCGUGUUCUGAGACAAGAACACGGACCCUACGGGGUGCAGCAGGCGCGAAACCUUUACAAUGCACGCAAGUGCGAUAAGGGGACUCCGAGUGUGGUCUUCCUACACGGAAGGCCACUUUUCUUUACUGUAAGGAGGUAUCGGAACAAGGGGUGGGCAAUACUGCUGCCAGCCGCCGCGGUAAUAGCAGAACCCCAAGUGGUAGCCACUUUUAUUGGGCUUAAAGUGUUCGUAGCCGGCCGUGUAAGUCUGCUGUGAAAUCCACGCGCUCAACGUGUGGAAGUGCAGCGGAUACUGCAUGGCUAGGAACCGGAUGGCGUCGAGGCUAUUCCAGGGGUAGGAGUGAAAUCCAAAAAUCCCUGGAGGAGCACCUGUGGCGAAAGCGCUCGACGAAUACGGAUUCGACGGUGAGGAACGAAAGCCAGGGGAGCAAAGGGGAUUAGAUACCCUCGUAGUCCUGGCCGUUAACUAUGUUCGUUUGAUGUCGGCUAACCUCCGUGGUUAGCCGGUGCCGAAGUAAAAACGUUAAACGAACCGCCUGGGUAGUACGGUCGCAAGGCUGAAACUUAAAGGAAUUGACGGGGGAACACCACAACCGGUGGGGGCUGCGGUUUAAUUAGAUCAAACGCAGCGCACCCUACCAGAGCCGACAGCAGAAUGACGGUCAGCUUGAAGAGCUUACCUGACGCGCUGAGAGGAGCUGCAUGGCCGCCGUCAGCUCGUGCUGUGAAGUGUCCGGUUAAGUCCGGUAACGAGCGAGACCCGCAUCACAUGCUGCCAUAGAUCCUUUCGAGGAUUUAGCACUCGUGUGAGACCGCUGGUGAUAAACCAGAGGAAGGAGCGGGCCACGGUAGGUCAGUAUGGCCCGAAUGCUCUGGGAUACACGCGGCC
RNAcentral lists this ribosomal RNA (984 nucleotides) under uncultured Nanohalarchaeota archaeon. RNAcentral describes it as "bacterial SSU rRNA". It matches the Rfam family "Archaeal small subunit ribosomal RNA", at positions 201 to 1181 of the family's 1478-position model. Lineage: Archaea; Nanobdellati; Candidatus Nanohalarchaeota. The record is from RNAcentral.